GGCCUCCUUCUCCUGUCGGAGCUGGCGUGAUCAGGGAAGGCUGGAGAGGAGGAAGAGCUUCUGCUGGGCUCCUGUCUGAGACGAGGGAAUCCCAAACAAAGAAGAAGGAAAAGGCAGAACUCUCACCAGACUCCACGGCUUAGAGGAAUCCUGCAAAGCUGCAACUAUUGGCAAAAUCUCUACUCUGUUUUCUGGGGGGCUUCCCAGGUGGCGCUAAUGGAUAAUACUAUGGACAGAAGAACCUGGUGGGCCAUGGGGUCGCAGCGAGCCAGACGUGAAAGAGCACACACACUCCUCCGUGUCCCCAGAGCCCCAGAGGGACGGAGUGCUUGGGGAAACUUAGGUGACCCUAAUUCCCCCAUGACACUUGUCCUGGGUCUCUUUUCCACACCUUCCCAAUAUUAUUUCUGCUCCUCCCCUGAAUCUUGUGUUAUGUUAAUAGUCCCUAAGUAUUUUUAAUUAGAUUUUCCAAGCAAAAGAAAGUUUCCAAAGUUAAUUAAAAGUUGCCUCGCUGUAAUUGUAUGAAAGCAGCUUUUGCUUCUGAAAAUUAAAUUCUCAUAAUUAAACUCCUCUAUCCGUUU
RNAcentral lists this long non-coding RNA (581 nucleotides) under Bos taurus (domestic cattle). Its description in RNAcentral is "long non-coding RNA NONBTAT025011". The record is from RNAcentral. Lineage: Eukaryota; Metazoa; Chordata; Mammalia; Artiodactyla; Bovidae.